Felis catus (domestic cat) is the source of this 4506-nucleotide long non-coding RNA. RefSeq lists it as uncharacterized. The transcript has 11 exons. The record is from RefSeq and is a predicted model, not a curated record. Lineage: Eukaryota; Metazoa; Chordata; Mammalia; Carnivora; Felidae.
AAUCUGAAUUUGCUAUCCAGAAUUAGAAAUAUUUCUAAAGAUGAUAGUUGCAUGAUAUAUUUUAUAUUAGCAUUGGAAUAUUUGAGAGAGCCUUCUUCAGUGGACUCCUGGUUCUUAGUCACAGAAAGGACUGAGUAAUGUUACCUAACUUGCAUUAAAUAUGAAUGUCACUUCAAAAUAUUUUCAUUUAUGAUUCCAGUGUAGUUAACCUACCAUGUUCUAUUUCACGUGUACGACACAGUGAUCUAACAAUGCUGUACAUUUCUCCGUGCUCAUCAAGAGCCUCCAUAUAGGCUGCCUCAGUCUCCAUUGCCACCUGCAGUGCAAGAGGGUUCCCUCUCUGCCCUCACCAACACUUACCGUUUUGUAUUUUAACCAUUCGAACAGGUGUGAGGGCGCGGACUCCGUUUCCUCUCACCGCCUGGCUCUGCCUGAGCUGAGCCUGCUGACUUUUAAAAUUCUACUGAUGGUGUUAAUUCCACUGAUGGACUGUCUCCAGUCUCCAGAAAUAUUCAGUGCAGAAAGGGCACAUCCUUGAUUCUGAGUUUCCAUACUCUUGUGCUGUGCAACCCAAUCUGGACUCCUUCCCAGAGCAAGGAGAGGGUUUUGUUGUGGGAUAUUGAGACCAGCUGCCGUGUGGGAGCAUGAAUUACCUGUGAAGAGCUUCCAGAAGGACUCGGACUGCGGGUCUGAACAAGAGAUCCCUCCCAGUGGAUUUGUAAAAGCUUUAAUGGCUUUCCUAAAGUCAGACUGUUUCUUGAGGCUGUGCCAUCCUUCAGCGAAUGCCCGGGAUGGGUGAGAUGUUACAUAAAAGGAUUCACGUUACACUGAGAGGAUUGUGAUCAGACCUUCAGAAAACCACCUGUGUUCCUGGGACGGCAGACCGGAUGCUACCUGUGGCACAUCUGUGGGCAAAAGUGUCCUGUGUCCUGUGACCAGUUGAGACUGGCUCUGGGAAAAAUACUGUUUUUCAUCUCACCAAACCUCAAGGAGCAAUAAAGAACGAUUUCAGAACCACAUGUGUGGGAGUGUGUGGACGCUGGGCCACGUUUGUCGCAUCUCAGGUCCUGAUCUCACACUUCACGAGUUUGAGCCCUGCAUUGGUGUCUGUGCUGACAGCUCGGAGCCUGCUUAGGAUUCUCUUUCCCUCAGCCACUCCCCCUUUCUCUCUCAAAAAAAAAAUGCAAAGUGAGUUUUAAUCCAUAAAAAUAUUGGAUGAAAACUUUUCGGAUUGGAAAUCACAAGACCUUUAAAAGGCAGCAUGGGAUUAAUUGGUCUAAAGCUGGCAGGAAUGUAAGGACCUUAAGAGUGAGUUCAGGGCACAGGAGGAGAGAAUCCCAGCAGGCUCUGUGCUUAGUGCAGAGACUGACAUGACCCUGGGAUCAUGACAGAUAUCAAGAGUUGGAAGUUCAGCCAGCUGAGCCACCCAAGCAUCCCUGGAUUUUCUGCUUAAAUCUAAGAGAGGAGCGCAAAAACGUUUCCUCCUGGUGCUGCAUCGUUUCUUGAGGUCCUGGAACCAGUGUUGACGCGGCUGAUUUUACUUGGCCGUCAAGGACAGCCUUGUCCCCUUCGUGGAGUGUGAGUAGUCCGAGUGGUCUCCCAAACGCCCCACAGGCGCUAACUUCUCGUUGCGGUGCAGCAAGAGAGCCAUAAUCAUCCUCUGGCUCACAGAUGAGGACACUGAGGUACAGCAUGGUUAAAUACUUCACAAGGCCAUCCGGCUAGACUAUGAGGAUGCUCGCACUUCCAUCCAGGUGGCCAUGGCUUAUUCCCUGCCCCCACCCGAUAGAAAUUUCCUGUACUCAACCACGAGUUAAAACCUGCUGCUUCGGGUGACUGUAAAUUUUCCACUUCUAUCUUCAACUUCUCAGUGCUGAAGCUAUCCAUAGAAAAUCUAGUUGUCAGAAGACCUCCAACCUUGACAAGCGUAUUGUUUGAAGUCUGCCGGGCUCCAGUCUGCGACCCUGGCAAAGCCUUAGCCGGUGUGUUCGCUUGUCUGUUAUGUGAGCUGUCACCUGCCCUCCAUCACACCACCUUCUGCUCAUUCAACAUGUCGGUGUUAACACCCAUUCUGUGCUUAGAAAAGAAGGAAACCAUGGCCGGCAAGGUGAGGUGUUGCUCAUGGCUUCGUGGAACUUAAAAUCUGGGGGGAGAAAGACCAAAUGAGACCUCCAUUUCCUAGAGCGUAGAAGAAAUGUCAUGACUAUGUAGGCAAUGUGUGUGUGCACCUGGGAGAGGUUUACAUAGGACACUUGCACAUGUGAAUGUACAGCUUCCUAUUUGUUGGUGGUAGACUGAAUAACCAGUAACUCAGAUUUGAAGACGACUUACAGACCCCUUCCUAUUAACAUGGAUGUAAAAUUCUUAAUUCAGUGGUUACAAAUUUGGUCUUGUAGCACAUUUUAAAACGAUAUCUAGGAGAGAGGAGGAUGGGAUCAUGCCUUAAUACUACAAAUCUUACAAAUAAGUUAAAUAGAAAAACAUCACCUGAAUCCAUUUAUAAAACACCUGAAAAAAAUUCUAGAAUUUCAAAUAUGUAGGAGUAACUAAUCUAAAAUCCUAAGAAUUUUUAAAGCCACUUAAUUCAACUGUUCCUAAAACUGUAGAUUUAAUUUCUUUGCCUUCUGGUGUAGAUGCUCAAAAUCUUACUGAAGAAAAUGUAUGCUAAAAGUCAUUAUGCAGAUUUCUUCAAAAAUCUUUUCAGGGAUUUCUUUUUGAGGAAAUAUGGACACUAUGCAUUUUAGAUCCUCCACACGUUUUCUAAUUCUCAUUUAAACUACAUGUUUGUACAAUUACGAAAGUAAAAUUUCACUUGGGUGAGUAUAUAUCUGAGUAUGUGUGAAAACACACACCUUUGACUAUCUCCCAGCAGCUACCUGCCUGUGUAAGAUAUUAAAACAUGUUCUCUUAUAAUCCAGAAGAGCACACAGGUAAUAAGACAGUAACGUUUACCUUGAACAAGGCGAACAGGAGUGGAGAAGGCACUUUACCUGGUGUUCUGUUUUGCCCACAAUAUAAAUCAGAGCUGUGCUUCUAAAAUCAGCUUCUGAGAACUAUUCCCACAAGUCAGCAAUAAACAUAAUGAAAAGAUGCUUAAAAUGAGAAAUCCCACAAUUCAACAGUUUAAAAGCACAUUUACCAAAAAAAAAAAAAAAAAAAAAAAAAAAAAAAAGUCCUCUUUCACCAGAUAAGGAGAAAACCAUGGCUUGUGGUACCUAAACCCUUGCUCUUCAAUCUGGGGCUCGUUGGAAGCGAUCCAUAGAGAACUUUCUGGCCAGCGUCUGUUACAGAGCAUUGUGGUUUUACAGACAUCAGUUGUAUGACUUUGCCAUUUGUCUUGUGACUGUAGGCGUGCUUUGAGGAGGAGGGUGUGAGAAAAACUUUUUCCUUUGUGUGUUGUUGGCUGCCCCCUGCUUCAAAACUAAAAGGACCUUGUUGGGAACUUCUGGCAAACUAGACAGGGUUCAGAUCUCAGCACAGGAGUGAAAGCCAUUCAAGAUGUCCUGACUCCCACGUGAGACCUCCUCCAUCCACUUCACCAAAGAGCAGUAGUGGAUGAAAAUAUCUUCAGCCUGUCUAUCUGAUGCAACCCUCUCAGUAUCUGAAAUGUGUAGGGAACUCCUACAACACAAGAGACAACCAACUGUUCAAUGGGCGAAGAACUCUUAAGGGCUUGAAUAAACAUGUUUUCCCCCAACGAAGAUCUACAGUGGCCAACAAGUUCAUGAAAGGAUGUUGAACAUCACUAAUAAGGGAAAGGCAAAUCAAAACCACAAUGAGAUGUCACCUCACACCUGUCAGGAUGGCUGUUACAGAUAUUAAAAAGUCAGUGUGUGGAGAAAGGGGAACUUUCAUGCACUGUUGGUGGGAAUGCAAACUGGUGCAGCCAGUCUGGAGAACAGAAUGGAGGUUUCUCACAAGAUUAAAAGUAGAACUCCCCUAUGACCCAGUUAUUCUACUUGGAAGUAUCUAAAGGGAAUGAAAUCCAGAUCUUAAAGAUCUCUAUAGCCCGUGUUCGUUGCAGUGUUUUUCACGGUAUCCAAGACAUGGAAACAACCUAAGUGUCCAUUGAUGGAUGAAUGGAUAGAGAACAAUGUGUGUACACACGGUGGAAUUCCAGCCAUAAAAAAGGAAGCUAGCCAUCUGUGACAGUGUGAUGGAACUGGAGGACAGUACAACGGCUGAAAUAAGUCACAGAACAAAUGUUACCCGGUGGGACUUCUAUGAGGAACCUGAACAUCCAACUCAGAAGGUGCAAUAUGGUUUUUGCUGAGAACUUGGAGGAGGAAUAGGGUUGGUCAGAGGUUCCAAAAUUUGUUGUUCAAGAUUAAGUCCUAGACAGCUACCAUACAGCAUGGUGAUUAUCAGUAUACUAUAUCGUGUACUGGAAAAUAUGCUAAAACGUAUGUUUUCCAAAGGAUUUUUUUUUAAUGAAACUUAUUGUCCAAUUGGUUUCCAUACAACACCCAGUGCUCAUCCCAACAGGUGCCCUCCUUCAUGCCCAUC